GUUCUCAUUGUGCAAUGGGUAUGAUGGCUCUAGUGGGGCUCCUCCUGGUUUUUCUUUUCUGCCUACAGAAUGGACUCAAUCACCCUGAGGGUGCCUUCACCGCGUGACUGACCUGGCUAUGACACAGCCACUGUCGAUAGCGGUCCUUCAAAGCUCCCUGGUCCUGUUGUAUCUGGGAGUCAUGGUGUUGCUGUCCCGUAAGGCUGUGGCUUCCCCUUACCUCAUUCCUCAGGCUCCUGAACAGACUGGAUGUGUUCCUGCUGGAGGAACUUACCCUAGUUUACUUCCACUACCUUCCCUUUGAGUCUCCAAGUAAGUUCCAGGCAGGGGUUCUCUCACAUUGAGUGUCUGAACAUGGCAACAGUCAGUGAGUCUGAAGACCAAUGGUUCCCACUUCCUGAGGAUGCAGGAUAAAGUUCCCUGCUGGCACCAUCAGCCAUUUCAGAACUUGCUAUGAGCAUGGGAAUGACCAAUGGUGCUCAGCCAGCUUCAUCUGGUACCAUACUACUCCUGUCACAUACAACUCUUUCCUGAACCCAGUGAUACCAAGGUAAAGAGGACUCUAGCUCUGCCAAGGGUCCGGUUGGCUCCAGUCCUUCCCAGCAGAGCCAGGGAGGCUAUGGUUUUCAUGACAGUAACUUCAUGAAACCACAGGUUCUAGCUGGUUCCAGUUCUUCUCAGGUGACCUACAGUUCUGACCCUCAGAACCUUGAACAGGAUGACCUAGACCCUUGAUCCCCUGGCUUAAGCGAUGCUCUCUGGAAUCAGAAGUAGGGUUCCUGGAUUUCUGUAUAUAAUGGUAACCAAUAUAUGUUGCCAGUACUUUUAACGCCUGGUUUAUUGUGUUCCUCAUAUCCCAGUCCACGGAUGUAGUUUUGGACAUCACUAUUAUUACUGUCAUAGGGGCUACUAAACCUCUAAAAAGAACUUGGAUAUUGAAUUAACCAGGUACAACUUCUGAGUUUCGUCAUAUCUGAUGUGUAGUUGAUGUCUUGCCUUCCUCACAGCAAUCAGUACUAACCUGCAUUCUUAUACUGU
Molecule: long non-coding RNA, 1038 nt
Organism: Salmo salar (Atlantic salmon)
Lineage: Eukaryota; Metazoa; Chordata; Actinopteri; Salmoniformes; Salmonidae
Source: RefSeq, a predicted model, not a curated record